AGAGGUUCAAUCAUGGCUCAGAUUGAACUGGCUGGCGAGAUCACUUUAGCCACCGAGUGUCGAACUUGCGCCCCGCUUCUGGACUUCGGUCUGGUGGCGAGUGGCGAACGGGUGAGUAAUGUAGCGGAACGUACCUAGUAGCGGGGAUAACUACGCGAAAGCGUAGCUAAUACCGCAUACGCCCUUCGAGGAAAGCGGGGACCUUCGGGCCUCGCACUAUUAGAGCGGCCGAUAUCGGAUUGGCUAAUGAUUGGUGGGGUAACGGUUCACCAAGGCGACGAUCAUGCGCUGGUUUGAAGACGACCAGCCACACUGGGACAGGGCUGGCGGCCCGAACUCCUAUUUACAGGAGGCAGCGAUUGAAAUUUUUGGACAAUGAAACCUGAUCCAGCCAUCCCGCGUGUGCGAUGAAGGCCUUCAGGUUAUCAACACUUUUGGCAGGAAAGAAACGGCGCAGGAUAAUACCCGUGCAACUGACGGUACCUGCAGAAUAAGCACCGGCUAACGUACUGGCAGCCGCGGUAAUACGUAAGUGCAAGCGUAAUCGGAAUUACUGGGCGUAAAGCGUGCGCACAGGCAGGUUCGGAAAAGAAAGAUGUGAAAUCCCAGAGCUUAACUUUGGAACUGCAUUUUUAACUACCGAGCUAGAGUGUGUCAGAGGAGUGCAAUUCCGCGUGCAGCGGUAAAUAAGCGAAUAUGCGGAGGAACACCGAUGGCGAAAAACAACCCUGGGAUAACUUACUGACGCUCAUGCACAGCGUAAGGGCAAACCUGCAGGACCUGAAUGCCCUGUAGUCCACGCCUAAACGAUCAUCAACUAGCUGUUGGGGCCUUCGAGCCUUGGUACUUACCAAGCGCUAACGCCGUCGAGAGAUUGACCGCCUAAGUGGUCGCAAAAUUCAAACUCAAAGGAAUUGACGGGGACCCACUGCGGCGGUGGAUAGUGUUAGUUAAUUCGAUGCAACGCACGAAGCCCCUACCCUUCGGCAUGUCUGGAAUCCCGAGAGAUUUGGGAGUGCUCGCAGAAACCGAACCGUGCUGCGGCUGUCGUCAGCUCGUGUCGUGAGAUGUUGGAGGUUCUAGUCCGCAACGAGCGCAACCCUUGUCGUGGAUGGUGCCUACGAAAGAAGGCCUCUAAUGAGACUGCCGAUGACAAACAGGGGAAGGUGGGGAUGACGUCAAGUCCUCAUGGCCCAUAUGGGUAGGGCUUCCACGUCAUACAAUGGUCGGGACAGAGGGUCGCCAACCGCGAGGGGGAGCCAAUCCCAGAAACCCGAUCUCGUAGUCCGGAUCGCAGUCUGCAACUCGACUGCGUAAAGUCGGAAUCGCUAGUAAUCCGGAUCAGCAUGUCAUGAUGGGCCCGUUCCCGGGUCUUGGCCACCGCCCAAUCACACCAUGGGAAUGGGUUUACCAGUAGUUAGCCUAACAGCAGGAGGGCGAUUACCCUGAUACGAUUCGCGAGCUGGGAGUGAAGUCAUGUGCUAAAAUUAA
Molecule: ribosomal RNA, 1491 nt
Filed under: uncultured Bordetella sp.
Lineage: Bacteria; Pseudomonadati; Pseudomonadota; Betaproteobacteria; Burkholderiales; Alcaligenaceae
Description: partial 16S-23S ribosomal RNA intergenic spacer
Rfam family: Bacterial small subunit ribosomal RNA
Source: RNAcentral